UACACUUAGGUUGGAGUCAUUAAAACUAGUUUACAUACACUCAGGUUGGAGUCAUUAAAACUAGUUUACAUACACUCAGGUUGGAGUCAUUAAAACUAGUUUACAUACACUCAGGUUGGAGUCAUUAAAACUAGUUUACAUACACUUAGGUUGGAGUCAUUAAAACUAGUUUACAUACACUUAGGUUGGAGUCAUUAAAACUAGUUUACAUACACUUAGGUUGGAGUCAUUAAAACUAGUUUACAUACACUCAGGUUGGAGUCAUUAAAACUAGUUUACAUACACUCAGGUUGGAGUCAUUAAAACUAGUUUACAUACACUCAGGUUGGAGUCAUUAAAACUAGUUUACAUACACUUAGGUUGGAGUCAUUAAAACUAGUUUACAUACACUUAGGUUGGAGUCAUUAACACUAGUUUACAUACACUUAGGUUGGAGUCAUUAAAACUAGUUUACAUACACUUAGGUUGGAGUCAUUAAAACUAGUUUACAUACACUUAGGUUGGAGUCAUUAAAACUAGUUUACAUACACUCAGGUUGGAGUCAUUAAAACUAGUUUACAUACACUCAGGUUGGAGUCAUUAAAACUAGUUUACAUACACUCAGGUUGGAGUCAUUAAAACUAGUUUACAUACACUUAGGUUGGAGUCAUUAAAACUAGUUUACAUACACUUAGGUUGGAGUCAUUAAAACUAGUUUACAUACACUUAGGUUGGAGUCAUUAAAACUAGUUUACAUACACUCAGGUUGGAGUCAUUAAAACUAGUUUACAUACACUCAGGUUGGAGUCAUUAAAACUAGUUUACAUACACUCAGGUUGGAGUCAUUAAAACUAGUUUACAUACACUUAGGUUGGAGUCAUUAAAACUAGUUUACAUACACUUAGGUUGGAGUCAUUAACACUAGUUUAC
Molecule: long non-coding RNA, 909 nt
Organism: Oncorhynchus keta (chum salmon)
Lineage: Eukaryota; Metazoa; Chordata; Actinopteri; Salmoniformes; Salmonidae
Exons: 4
Source: RefSeq, a predicted model, not a curated record